GGCGUAGGCCCGUGCCCCUGCUCGCGCUGCAGCCCGUGGAAGGGUUGCGUCCAGUGUAUCCUCCAGAUCUUGCGGUAGUCCUCUCGUAUCUGUGCGCGCGCGGGAGGGACAGCGGCGGCGACGGCCGGAGGUGUACGGUCAGCGGGUUGCGGAGGAUCGUGCGGGUAGCAAAGGGAGGCCGAGUGCGCCUGCGGCUCCCAGACGGCAAACGGUUGCUUCCUCUACUGAAGUCUUGAAACCCCUGAAAGUCAUCCCUGAGGGUUGGAGUUAACUUCUUCUACACUCCUGUUAAUGUUGAUAUUUUGGCCUCCUCCCAUGAAUCACAAAUGUUCUUAAUGGCAUCUAGAAUGGUGCUGUCAACUCUCACCUGGUUUCCUUAGCUCUGGUGAAGUAUUUUCGUGUAUGGAUUGUUUUUCAAAUUGAUGUUUCUGUUGGGGGAUGAGCACUGGAAAGUCCUGCUCUGCCAUCUUGCUGCCAUCUGGACUCCCAAGAACAUGCAUCAUUAUUAGAACCAUCACCCUGCAGCUAGCUUGGAUACCAUUAAAAGGGCUCACCAGCUGCAAACGGAUAAAAGUAUCUGAUACUCGGGAAGACAGAGUUUCAGGGUUUCUACCUGGAGCUACACCCUCCAGAAGCCCCUCCUUGGCCUCCCUGCACCCAGCCCCAUCCCAGCCAGUCACAUCUUGGGCUGUACGUGGUGUUUCUUGGAAACCGGAACACAGACUCCUCCAGCAGCUCCACAGGCCCCUUGUCCUCAGUGAGCAGAAGACUACAGGAGCUGGCUACUGAAGAGGCUGUCCAAGUGAUAGAGCACCUUCUUGGCCCUGCUUAGCACAUUUACUGCAGAGCUGGAUGCUACUUAUUUGUGCUCACCACCUUCAGGGACUGCAGAGGGAUUUGUCAGACCCUACUUCACUAAGGGCCACCCUCUAAGGAUCUCCAGAAGAGGCUGCCCAUAGAGAGAAGUGGCCUGCCUAGGGUCUCCACUGCCUCAGGUCCUACCCGGACACCUCUAGGGCUGAGGGGAUCGGUAUCUCUUCACCUACCUGUAAUCCACAUACCAAGUGGAAGAAUCUGCCUGCUAUUUUUUGUUUGUUUUGGAGGGAAGAGUUUUAACUACUGCUGUAAUUCCUUUAGUAGCUAUGGAACUGUUGAGGAUUUCUUUUUCUUCUUGAGUCAAUUUUCGUAAGAUAACAGUUUUCUAGGAGUUGGUCCAUUUUGCCUGCAUUUUCAAAUUCAUUGGCAUCAAGUUUCCUUUUUAUUCUCUGCUGUGUAUAAACUGUAACGAUGUCUCCUUUUUCAUUAGUGAUAUUGGUUAUUUGUGCCUUCUCACUUUUUUUCUUGAUCAAUCUCACCAGAGGUUUAUCUAUUUUAUUAGUCUUUUCAAAGAACCAACUUUUGGCUUUGUUGCUCCUCUCUAUUGUAUCUUUGUUUUCUAUUUCUUUAAUUUCCGCUCUUAUCUUUUUUGAUCUCCUUCCUUCCACAUUUUUUGGGUUUAUUCUGUUGUUCUUUUUCUAAUUUCUUUAACUGGACAUUGAGCUCAUUAAUUUUCAUUCUUGCCCAUUUUCUAAUUUGUGCAUUUAAGGAUAUAAUUUCCCUCUAACUACUGCUUCUCCAUAAGUGUAGAUAUGUAGUAUUUUCAUUAUUGUUCAGUUAUAAGUAUUUCAUUUCCAUCAAGGUUACUUCUUUUACCUGUAAGUUAUAUAGAAAUGUGUUUUUAGAUUUCCAAAUGUUUGGGGAUUUAAAAUUUUACCUCUUUGUUAUUGAAAGCUGUCUUAAUUGCAUUAUGGUCAGAGCAUGUGGUUCGUGUGAUAACAACUCUGAAAUUUUUUAGACUUGUUUUAUGGCUUAGUAUGUGACCAAUAUUUUUGAAUGCUUCCUAUGUGCUAAUUUAUAAGAAUGUGUGUUCUCUAAUUGUUGAAUACAGAGAUCUGCAUAUGUCUAUUA
This is a long non-coding RNA of Macaca fascicularis (crab-eating macaque), 1947 nucleotides long. NCBI's taxonomy places the organism in Eukaryota, Metazoa, Chordata, Mammalia, Primates, Cercopithecidae. The record is from Ensembl.